RNAcentral lists this ribosomal RNA (253 nucleotides) under uncultured bacterium. RNAcentral describes it as "partial 16S ribosomal RNA". It matches the Rfam family "Bacterial small subunit ribosomal RNA", at positions 524 to 776 of the family's 1533-position model. The record is from RNAcentral.
UACGUAGGGGGCAAGCGUUGUCCGGAAUCAUUGGGCGUAAAGCGCGUGUAGGCGGCUUGGUAAGUCCGCUCUGAAAGCCCGGGGCUCAACCCCGGGAGGCGGGUGGAUACUGUCAAGCUCGAGUCCGGAAGAGGCGAGUGGAAUUCCUGGUGUAGCGGUGAAAUGCGCAGAUAUCAGGAGGAACACCAAUGGCGAAGGCAGCUCGCUGGGACGUGACUGACGCUGAGACGCGAAAGCGUGGGGAGCUAACAGG